RNAcentral lists this ribosomal RNA (223 nucleotides) under Klebsiella pneumoniae. RNAcentral describes it as "partial 23S ribosomal RNA". It matches the Rfam family "Bacterial large subunit ribosomal RNA", at positions 1 to 232 of the family's 2925-position model. The record is from RNAcentral. Lineage: Bacteria; Pseudomonadati; Pseudomonadota; Gammaproteobacteria; Enterobacterales; Enterobacteriaceae.
GACUAAGCGUACACGGUGGAUGCCCUGGCAGUCAGAGGCGAUGAAGGACGUGCUAAUCUGCGAAAAGCGUCGGUAAGGUGAUAUGAACCGUUACAGCCGGCGAUGUCCGAAUGGGGAAACCCUGUGUGAUUCGUCACACUAUCGUUAACUGAAUACAUAGGUUAACGAGGCGAACCGGGGGAACUGAAACAUCUAAGUACCCCGAGGAAAAGAAAUCAACCGA